UAAAUGGGCAAAGGCCAAGAAAGGAGAGGAAGCUUUAUUUACAACCAGGGAGUCUGUGGUUGACUACUGCAACAGGCUUUUAAAGAAACAGUUUUUUCAUCGGGCCCUAAAAGUAAUGAAAAUGAAAUAUGACAAAGACAUAAAAAAAGAAAAAGAAAAAGGAAAAUCUGAAAGUGGGAAAGAAGAUGAUAAAAAGAGCAAGAAAGAAAGUAUUAAAGAAGAAAAAACAAAAAAGGAAAAAGAAAAAAAGAAAGAUGGUGAAAAGGAAGAUUCCAAAAAGGAAGAAACUCCAGGAACUCCAAAAAAGAAGGAAACUAAGAAGAAAUUCAAACUUGAGCCACAUGAUGACCAAGUCUUUCUGGAUGGAAAUGAGUGAUUGCAGUAAUAGCUGCCACCCUCUUCCCUCUCUGGCCAGCAGAAAUGAGAGUAGGUGUGUAUUACCUCAGUGUGGGCGCAGGCUGUUUUGUAGCCAGCAUUCUCCUCCUUGCUAUUGCUCGCUGCAUCCUGUUCCUCAUCAUCUGGCUGAUAACUGGAGGAAGGCACCACUUUUGGUUCCUGCCAAACCUGACUGCUGACGUGGGCUUCAUUGACUCCUUCAGGCCUCUGUACACACAUGAGUACAAAGGACCAA
This 631-nucleotide long non-coding RNA is filed under the name Rattus norvegicus (Norway rat). Its description in RNAcentral is "long non-coding RNA NONRATT016297". Lineage: Eukaryota; Metazoa; Chordata; Mammalia; Rodentia; Muridae. The record is from RNAcentral.